This 253-nucleotide ribosomal RNA is filed under the name uncultured bacterium. Its description in RNAcentral is "partial 16S ribosomal RNA". It matches the Rfam family "Bacterial small subunit ribosomal RNA", at positions 524 to 776 of the family's 1533-position model. The record is from RNAcentral.
UACAGAGGGUGCUAGCGUUAUUCGGAAUCACUGGGCGUAAAGGGCGCGUAGGCGGCCUGUUAAGUCUGAUGUGAAAGCCCUGGGCUCAAUCCAGGAAGUGCAUCGGAUACUGGCAGGCUAGAGUAUGGGAGAGGAGGACGGAAUUCCUGGUGUAGAGGUGAAAUUCGUAGAUAUCAGGAGGAACAACAGUGGCGAAGGCGGUUCUCUGGACCAUUUCUGACGCUGAGGCGCGAAAGCGUGGGGAGCAAACAGG